GUUUAUGUGGCGGUACUUUGGGACAUCGUAAGAUGUGCUGUUACCCAGUGAAACAGUCUGCUAACCCGAAGUAUCGCCACGCCUAU
RNAcentral lists this non-coding RNA (86 nucleotides) under Simonsiella muelleri ATCC 29453. The record is from RNAcentral. Lineage: Bacteria; Pseudomonadati; Pseudomonadota; Betaproteobacteria; Neisseriales; Neisseriaceae.